CCUCCUCUCCGCCACCAGAAAAAAAGCCAUUCACAGGGGGUGCUGUGCAACUAAUUAAAGGCAGACUGGCAGCGUCUGCAAAUUCUAAGGCUCCCCAAAUAAAAAGCGACUGCUGCGGCGGCCGGAGC
Suncus etruscus (white-toothed pygmy shrew) is the source of this 128-nucleotide long non-coding RNA. RefSeq lists it as uncharacterized. NCBI's taxonomy places the organism in Eukaryota, Metazoa, Chordata, Mammalia, Eulipotyphla, Soricidae. The record is from RefSeq and is a predicted model, not a curated record. The transcript is spliced from 3 exons.